This 484-nucleotide ribosomal RNA is filed under the name uncultured bacterium. Its description in RNAcentral is "partial 16S ribosomal RNA". It matches the Rfam family "Bacterial small subunit ribosomal RNA", at positions 30 to 507 of the family's 1533-position model. The record is from RNAcentral.
AUUGAACGCUGGCGGCAGGCCUAAUACAUGCAAGUCGAGCGGAUGAAGGGAGCUUGCUCCUGGAUUCAGCGGCGGACGGGUGAGUAAUGCCUAGGAAUCUGCCUGGUAGAGGGGGAUAACGUCCGGAAACGGGCGCGAAUACCGCAUACGUCCUGAGGGAGAAAGUGGGGGAUCUUCGGACCUCACGGUAUCAGAUGAGACUAGGUCGGAUUAGCUAGUUGGUGGGGUAAAGGCCUACCAAGGCGACGAUCCGUAACUGGUCUGAGAGGAUGAUCAGUCACACUGGAACUGAGACACGGUCCAGACUCCUACGGGAGGCAGCAGUGGGGAAUAUUGGACAAUGGGCGAAAGCCUGAUCCAGCCAUGCCGCGUGUGUGAAGAAGGUCUUCGGAUUGUAAAGCACUUUUAGUUGGGAGGAAGAGCAGUAAGUUAAUACCUUGCUGUUUUGACGUUACCAACAGAAUAAGCACCGGCUAACUUCGUG